GAAAGUCGGAGGUUAGACUCCCCCCUACUGC
This 31-nucleotide transfer RNA is filed under the name Poecilia reticulata (guppy). Its description in RNAcentral is "partial tRNA-Thr". Lineage: Eukaryota; Metazoa; Chordata; Actinopteri; Cyprinodontiformes; Poeciliidae. The record is from RNAcentral.